UACGAAGGGGGCUAGCGUUGUUCGGAAUCACUGGGCGUAAAGCGCACGUAGGCGGAUUGUUAAGUCGGGGGUGAAAUCCUGAGGCUCAACCUCAGAACUGCCUUCGAUACUGGCAAUCUCGAGUCCGGAAGAGGUUGGUGGAACAGCUAGUGUAGAGGUGAAAUUCGUAGAUAUUAGCUAGAACACCAGUGGCGAAGGCGGCCAACUGGUCCGGUACUGACGCUGAGGUGCGAAAGCCGUGGGGAGCAAAGCAGGGAUUAAGAAACCCGG
RNAcentral lists this ribosomal RNA (270 nucleotides) under uncultured bacterium. RNAcentral describes it as "partial 16S ribosomal RNA". It matches the Rfam family "Bacterial small subunit ribosomal RNA", at positions 524 to 790 of the family's 1533-position model. The record is from RNAcentral.